This is a non-coding RNA of Linepithema humile (Argentine ant), 332 nucleotides long. NCBI's taxonomy places the organism in Eukaryota, Metazoa, Arthropoda, Insecta, Hymenoptera, Formicidae. The record is from RefSeq and is a predicted model, not a curated record.
UAAUUUUGUUCUCUCAUUACAGUUGCACGUGUUUCAUGCUCGAAGCUUCACUAUUUGGUUAGUUUUAUCCGAAUGUCAAGUAGGUUCGUCAGUUUUAACAAGUAUCAAUAGUCAAGAUUUUAAAGUUAAGUAAAUCUGUUUCAAAAAAUCUCAAGAUGCUACGGUUUCUGAUCAGCCUGAGUAUCGGAGUAUACGCCGGAAUCUAUAUAGCACAAAAUUAUGAGGUAUGCUGAACACAUGAUCAGGUUCCACGUGUAGACGAGCCAGCGAAAUUGUAUGAACGAGUGACGCAGUUUUUAGAAGACAAUAAGAAGAAGCCAUGAUGAAAUUAU